UACGUAGGGUGCAAGCGUUGUCCGGAAUUAUUGGGCGUAAAGAGCUCGUAGGUGGCCUGUCGCGUCGGCUGUGAAAACUCGGGGCUCAACUCCGAGCUUGCAGUCGAUACGGGCAGGCUAGAGUUCGGCAGGGGAGACUGGAAUUCCUGGUGUAGCGGUGAAAUGCGCAGAUAUCAGGAGGAACACCGGUGGCGAAGGCAGCACUCUGGGACGGUACUGACGCUGAGACGCGAAAGCGUGGGGAGCAAACAGG
This 253-nucleotide ribosomal RNA is filed under the name uncultured bacterium. RNAcentral describes it as "partial 16S ribosomal RNA". It matches the Rfam family "Bacterial small subunit ribosomal RNA", at positions 524 to 776 of the family's 1533-position model. The record is from RNAcentral.